GACGAACGCUGGCGGCGUGCUUAACACAUGCAAGUCGAACGGAAAGGCCCUGCUUGCAGGGUACUCGAGUGGCGAACGGGUGAGUAACACGUGGGUUAUCUGCCCUGCACUUCGGGAUAAGCCUGGGAAACUGGGUCUAAUACCGGAUAGUAGCCAUUUUUAGUGUGAUGGUUGGAAAGUUUUUUCGGUGUAGGAUUAGCUCGCGGCCUAUCAGCUUGUUGGUGGGGUAAUGGCCUACCAAGGCGGCGACGGGUAGCCGGCCUGAGAGGGUGGACAGCCACAUUGGGACUGAGAGACGGCCCAGACUCCGACGGGAGGCAGAAGGGGGGAAUAUUGCACAAUGGGCGCAAGCCUGAUGAAGAGACGCCGCGUGGGGGAUGACGGCCUUCGGGUUGUAAACUCCUUUCGCUAGAGACGAAGCUGUUUGUGACGGUACCUAGAGAAGAAGCACCGGCUAACUACGUG
RNAcentral lists this ribosomal RNA (465 nucleotides) under uncultured bacterium. RNAcentral's name for it is "partial 16S ribosomal RNA". It matches the Rfam family "Bacterial small subunit ribosomal RNA", at positions 28 to 507 of the family's 1533-position model. The record is from RNAcentral.